CAUUAUCUCAACCCAGAGAACCAACAUGAGCAAGACAAUAGCAUCUGUUUUCCUCAUCAUUUAUCAGAAAAUGUUGCACGGCUAUAACCUGAUGCUGAUGUUUCGUAUAUCACAAUAGGCAUAUCAAUCAAACGUCUGAAGCAAAGGUGUUAUAAAUCGUGUUUGUAUCCUUUGAGAAAAGGACAUCAAAAGGAAUUCGCGAUUUUCUC
Molecule: non-coding RNA, 209 nt
Organism: Schizosaccharomyces pombe (fission yeast)
Lineage: Eukaryota; Fungi; Ascomycota; Schizosaccharomycetes; Schizosaccharomycetales; Schizosaccharomycetaceae
Source: the annotation of a GenBank genome assembly